This 289-nucleotide ribosomal RNA is filed under the name uncultured bacterium. RNAcentral's name for it is "partial 16S ribosomal RNA". It matches the Rfam family "Bacterial small subunit ribosomal RNA", at positions 89 to 379 of the family's 1533-position model. The record is from RNAcentral.
ACACGAGUGGCGAACGGGUGAGUAACACGUGGGUGAUCUGCCCUGCACUUCGGGAUAAGCCCGGGAAACUGGGUCUAAUACCGGAUAGUACUGCGCGGUGCAUGCCGUGUGGUGGAAAGAUUUAUCGGUGCAGGAUGGGCCCGCGGCCUAUCAGCUUGUUGGUGGGGUAAUGGCCUACCAAGGCGACGACGGGUAGCCGGCCUGAGAGGGCGACCGGCCACACUGGGACUGAGACACGGCCCAGACUCCUACGGGAGGCAGCAGUGGGGAAUAUUGCACAAUGGGCGCA